Molecule: long non-coding RNA, 8499 nt
Organism: Cygnus atratus (black swan)
Lineage: Eukaryota; Metazoa; Chordata; Aves; Anseriformes; Anatidae
Exons: 3
Source: RefSeq, a predicted model, not a curated record
GGAUGCAAAUUCUUUUAAAAUCAGCGCUUAAUUAAUUGCUUAGAAAAACAACCCAUUGCCAAAAAUGUGGGGGGUUGUUUUUAGGCUUUUUUUUUUUUUUGGCUUCUUUUUUUUCCAGUUGAGAAAGCUUUUUCAGUGGAGAAAAAAAAAAAAAAAAACUAAUUACAGGCAACAGCACACAGCGAAAUGCACGAAGGACAAAUCCAGCACCUUUUGAAAUGAGCCCCUCGGAAGGAAGAAUUAGCAACCUGGACGGAGCUCCAGGCAACUCCAGCUCUCCUGCGGCUGGUGCCCGACCUAAUUCGCUUCCAGCCAGCUCUGGUCAUUCCUCACAACACUGCAGAAAUCCUAGGAGAGCUGCGUAUCUAACACCUCUGACAAACACAGACAAUGACCAGAGAAAUUAAAACUGCCAGGAAUAAAAGAUAGCACAAAGAGAGCCCUGAGGAAAGUGCACAACGCCGCCGCCGGGAGGGCCAGCGAGUGGGAGACGUGGAGCCGCUGUCCAGCCCACCUGCUCCGGAGGAGAAGAGGGGGAACCUGUGACCCCACUCAAGGAUGCAGGCCUGAAACACGUACAGAGACAUCGUGGCGGGUCCCUUGGGUCCCCUUGCUCCACGCUUCAAUCUGCAGAAGAGCCCCGACCCCUUCAGAUACCUCGCAAUGUGACAAGCCGUAUGCUGUCCAGCCAGCAGCACAAGGACCCGAUUGUCCUCUUAUAAAAACAUGAAUUACGCCGAUAUAACCCAGCUCAUUUCUCUGCCUUCAUCAGGACAGCAUCGUAAGUGAGGAGAGAAUCAAGUCCUAAAUGUCUGCACGGUAUCUAUCCCCUACGCCUGUCAAUUUGAAGGUGAAAAACAAAACUUUUGGUGGAAGUUCUGGGACAAAUCCAACAAUUAAACACCACCCUGUGAAAAUAUACCCAGCUGUCCUUCAAAAAAGCUGAAUUUAAUGACAACUGUGGCUAGAAGGGUUUCCCUAUCACAAAAGAACCCCAAAACAUAGAUGACUUGUACCACAAAAAUGCUGAGAAAAGCCAAUGCAUAACCGAGAAAAUGGGCCGUGUGUAAUUAGGAAGGGAGGGAAAUGCAUUAGCCAAGUGAAGCCCCCCUUCUAGACCAGAUCUGACCUAUUCACUGGUUAAAAUCACUCUCUGGAGGAAGAAAUUGAAUGAUAGAAAGGAAAAGAGGGAUGCUGACAGAGAUACUGAGCAGAAUUCCUGGUGAUACUCCGGGGAUGGCGAGGCAGGACCACUUUUAGUUUGCAUCAAAUACAUGCACGGGGAAAAAAAAAAAAAAAAAAAAAAAAAAAAAACAAGCUAAGUACACCACAGGAGUCCUUCCUUCAGCCUCUACACACACAGAACUGGACUGACAGACGGCACUGAUUUACUCCACAGGCUCACCUGGUACACAGACCUGUUGUACAGUGCUUAAUUACUUUAUGUAGAGUAACUGUUCGGUACCACACAGGGACAAAUAGUAUUAUACAAUAACAUUAAUAAUGCCUACUACAACAGGAUUAUAUCCUUUCAGCUAUCCUGGUAUAGCUAUGUGACUUGCCACCAACCGUGGACACAGUGGGAUUUUUCAGCCUCUCUCUGUAUAUUUUCAAUCACGUACCUUUGCUUCAGUUUAAUUCCAUCCCUUCUAAGGCUAACAUUGCUUCAGCUAUUGCAGAGAAAAAUAUUACAGUUCAGCCCAUGGAGACACAAAGACACGCAUGCAGGGAAAUCAACGCUUGAGAAUAGGACUAUUAAAAGCAUUUUACAUUUCUGAUAUUGGAGGUGGAGUUUGUGGAGAGUCAGAAAGUAACUAACCAAACAGACCAAAGCUGAAUGAAUUUUGGCACUUUCUCCCAAAAGUAUGGGUUUUGAGAGAGAUCAAAUGGUUCCAUUCUGACCUUCACAUCUUAUCUGGGAGGUGACAGAUCUCGGAGCAUCUUUUGGAGCAUAUCAUAUCUGGGCAUCAAAGACAUCUAAAAAAAAUUCACGAAAGCUCCUCUGCCUACAGAUAGAAGUAUAACCAGAUACUACGACAAGGAAAUUGAAGCUAAGUAGAUUUUGACCAAAAAUAAGACACUCAUUUUUAACGGCCAAAGGCAAUUAACCUAGGAGCGCUUCUGAAGGACAGCGAAUGGUUUUCCAUCACUCAGUGUUUUUAAACCAAGGAUAGAUAUUUUUUAUCUAGACAGAUGUGGUUCAGACAAGGCAGCCUUAUGGCCAGCGCUACGCAGAAGGUCGAGGAUCCUGGCUCCUCCACAACCUGCCCAGCCGCUCACCUACUGACUCCCCGGCGCAGCUCCUGCAGCACAUCGCCUUGUUGUUCACAGUCUGUUUCCCCACGGAUGACCAGACCUGACCCUGCUGAGAUUACAAAAGCCAAAGGGUUCAGAAGUGAGGAAAACAGGAAAUCCAAACAGUGAAAAUCUCAGCAAUAACGUUUCCUAACAAAGACCUUCAGAUCUCACUCUCAGCCAACAGCUGUCUUCGUGACGUCCAAAAAGGACGAUGUUUAGUGUGGUAAAGACCGUCUUUCUGCCACUUAUUUUUACCCUGUUUAUUUUUCUAUACUGUGACAUUUUCCUCCUUGUUAAAAUCUUGCUCAUAAAUGAGGGUGCUAACCCAGACCUAAGAAAACAUACAGAAAUGUAUGUACUCCGUACGCUGAAAAUUCACGGGCCCACAGGAUGCAAUUCUCCCUCCAGAAAACCAAACCAAAACCUGUGCACCACUUAAAUUUCCCUUUGGGCUACUCCUUUGGAGUACUUCCCCUUUGGAGAACUGAAAUGAGAUGUGCUGUAGCUUAACUUACUGUACCACAGGGUAUAAGACUGCAAAGCAGCUCAAAACAUUAUCCCGUGGGGCAGCAAGAGCAAAAGGUGAAGAGUGAGGAAAGCUUAAUUUUGAAGGAAAAUGUCAUAUUUGAUUGCAUUACUGUUUUUGUAUUUUAGAUCUUAUCCAAAUUUCCUGACUUAAUAUCACAUACGUGCAAAUCGCACGCAUGGCCGUGACAUUCAUGUGAGCUCUGUGGGCCAGAUCUGGGGGUGGUGUAAAUUGGUGUAGCACCUGUGUCACUGGGUCAUAAAUAAAGACCUUGUCCUAGGUCUUUGCAGAGAGCAUUAAGGAAAUUUAAGGUGGCUGAAGAGGUAUUUUCUGUUUUAAGGUCUGGAAGUUGCUUUGCACUCAAAUUUUAAAUUUCGUCCACUUUUUAGGUGAAAUUUGACUUUUCUCCCCGGCAGUACGGGCAGGGCACGUGUGUGCCAUUACACUGCCAUCUAGUGAUGCGAGUUUGCAAGGCAAAAUAGUUGGCAAAAGAUGGCUGACCAGCAGCAAGUGCCAGAGUCCAAGUUGUGAAGGGAAGGGCCAGAACUAAGUUAAAGAUCAGACAAAAAGAAUUGCAAAGGGCACAGCCAGUGGUGGCCCCUCAAACACGUACAGGGAAGAAUAGGAUAACAAAAUGCAUGCAAGAGAGGGGGUUGCAAAGAAGCUCAUCCAUUAUCCAGCUGUUAGCCAUUGCAGGGCUCAUUGGGAGAGACAGUUUUGCAAUUACAACUCUCAAAGUCCAGCUUCUCGGCUGAUAGUAGCUGGCCUUGCUCUACCAAGCUCAUGUUCUGCCAAGCUCACGGUUAAGCAAAGCCUGCACAGAAGCUUUUUGCAGCAGCGACCCUCUUUCAAGCACCUAAAUCUCUUUGGCCAUCUUUCUCCCAGCUUUACGGGGCACAUUCUCAGUAUAACUCCCUCCUGAACUCAGUGCAGUUGUAUCAGGAGAUCUGGGCCAAAUUUAUUUUCUUUGUAACUGAUUUCAGUGGUGUCCACCUUGGACCACUUUGACUGUCUAUAUCCACAGCCAUUCCUAUGGUCAAUCAGCAUCCAAAAGGAUUUCCUAAGCUGCACAUCAUACUGCUUAUAGAAGAUCCUUGUGCUCAAGGGUUGGACAACAAAGCUUAGGCUUAACACAUGAACCUUUAUGAGUCAAAAUCCCAAUCCUAAUGUUUUACUCAUCUUGAGGAUAUUUGUCCUCAGUGGUAUGUGUGUCAGAGGGCGUGAAAGUGAGAGUGUCUUGAGGUUAACAAUUGUUCAUACUCAUAGUGGAUGAAUCAUAUGAUAACACCACAGCAACAUCCUGUAUAAUUGUCGGGAGCCUCUAUUUCUGGCAGUGUGUCCCUAGGCUGUCUCAUGAGUAAAUGUUAUUUGUGCUUUACUAUAUAAAACCAAAACCAAACAAAAUUAUACAACGGGACACUAUUCUGCAGGCACUAGCCAAAAUCACAAGUGCCUAAUUGAGCCUUCAGUAACCCUCUUCAGCGAUAAAUUGUGUGAUGAAGUUAAUAAGACUGAGAUGGAUAUCUCUGUUCUUCAGCUGACUAGUACAUGAGCAACUCUCCACAUCUACAAGCAUGUCGCUCCCCCCUUUUCUCCCUCCCUGCCGGCUGUUCAGAGCUGCUGUCCGCGGGCUUUGCUGCACCAGGAGCACGCCCAGCCCGCUUCACCAACCCAAGCACGCGCGUACCUGUGGAAAGCAAAAUUCAGCACAGCAAGCACAUCAGAAGUUGGAUUUAAAGCAAACUCCUCGGCCUGCAGUAAGAACACCGACUGUCCGUACCACCCUCGGCACAAAAAGGCACCAAUUUGGCAUGGAUCCCCUGUGUUAGGGUUUCAGACAUACAUUUCUACGGUACCAGGGCCGCCCAGAUAACCUGCUCAGCUCCUCUGGGGUGCCUGUAGGGCGGCUGUCCCGUGGUCCUCCCUUGGGAAGCGCUUCCUCUGGACACUCUUGUAGGAUGCACACUUAGGGCAGAGGCCAGUUUUUGUUUGCCUUUGUAAGGUGAUGGCAGGAUUUUGGCCGACGGUUUGUGACUCCGGAUCCGAAGCAGCAACGAAAGAACGUGCUGGCAAACGCAGCUAGUGUUUGUCCCCUGAUCACAGAGGCUUCGAGGGAACCACGGGUGAAACGGCCUGGGAAAAAUCAGGCAAGUGGCACAACCACCUCUCCACGUGGAACAAAGCUCUCCAUGCUAUAAACCUAUCCCAUUCAAAAUUUUCAGAACAAAUGUUUAUUUCUCGUUAGAAAAAAAACUUCUCGUUUUGAUGUUUCCUAGCUUUAGUAUUACAUUUUCAUAACUUCAAGAAAAAUCCAAAAGCAAUGUAGAGUUUUUUCAGUCUUUCUAUACUGAACACAGACUGUAUUCUAAAAAUAGAAAAUAUUACGAUGACAUCGUAAAUUCUGCUCAAGUGUAUUUUUUUUUUUCUUUUUCCUGAGGGAGGAGAUGGACAGGUAGAGAAAAAUCUUCCUCCUGAGAAUUUCAAAGUAUGGGUCUGUUUCUGAAAACAGCUAAAUUUGAAAUCCUUUACAAGGACUGUCUUCUGUGUAUCUCUAAUAAUACCAUACUUUUCAAAUGCCACCCAAGUUCACUAAAAGAUUGCCAUUAUUUUUUCAUUUUCAAUGGAAAUGCCUACUUUCAGUGUUUCAGCCACUACUUGCAGUAGAAAUUUACCAGAUAUUCACACCAAUAAGACUGAGAUUUUAAAAACAAUCUAGGGGGUGAGCCACACAUCUUCCAUAAAAAUUAAAGUACCCUUGACAGCUUCAGAUUAUGAUGAGAUUAAUUUUAAGGAAGUCUGUUUAAUAUUAGGGUAGAAGGGCUGAUAUUAGAGUGGGGGACCUGAAACCCUUUUCAUUGCGGUGGGAGCAGAUGAGAAUUUCUACAUGCGCAGCACCCAAAAGGCACUGCUCUGGGUUCGGAAGGGAUUUUAAAUUAUUUAACUUCGCAUCAAAAAAUAAAAUAAUCCAACAAGAAAAUGAGAAUAUGGGCAAAACAAAGCAGUAACGAUUUACGAGGUCACGUUUACUAUUUUGCCUUCAAAUCUGUAGAUCCCUCGCUCGCGUUUCGCUGCUCCCAGAUCCCCGCUCUCCAUCUGACCUGCGUCAGACCCCAACCCAACUCAGCCCCCAUCUCCCCAAACCAAAGGUUUCCAUAAACCACUCGCUGCAGCGCCGGCCUGAGCAUUCCCCGGUACAAAGUAUGAAAAAAAAUCCCAUCAAAUUCAAAAAAUAUCUCCACUGCUGCCUCCUCAUUUCCUGGCGGCAGCCGGGCCCGGAAAUAGCUCCAUUUCCUGAGUAAGCUGCUCCCCGGGGAGCUGCAGCCCGGCUGCAGCAAGCAGCCACCGCAGCUCAGGGCUGGACUAACUCCUCUCGCUGGGUUUAAGUUUGAGCUGGAAUUCCAGCUUUACGGCAUUUAUGUUUAGCAAGGGACACCUAGGAAGGUAACGCGACAGGGGGUAUAAAUAACAAAACAAGAUAGGAAUAAAAUACGUGUUUUGAGGGGGGAAGUGUUGUCGACAGCCAUACUUAGUAUUCAAUUAAAUUAAGUGCAACUCCAUCGUCCCCCAUGUUUUAAAGGAGAGCCUCCUCAGUCUGUACUCUGUAUAUAGCUUAUCAAUUUGGUCCUGAUUAUUCCAAGUGGCGUCUUUUCCUGCAAAGCAGCCACAUUCAGCAAGAAACGCAAUUUAUUAAGACAAGGCGAAGGCUUGGUUUUAGCAGAGUGGGAAGAGAUUUAAUAGUCCAGAGGGAGGGGGGAAAGAUGGAUGAACACAGACGACUUCUGAGAAACUCUGCAAAUAGGUGGAGCGAUUCACAAUCCAAUAAGCCCCUUGGGAAAGCCUUAUCAUUCCUUCCCGCACUGGAAAUCCAUUCUUCCAUGGCUCUUUGUGGCCAGAGAAGUCUCUCUAAUUAACCAAAGAGGUGUGAAGUCCAGAACAGUCCAUACACCUUUCAAGCAGUCGUAUUAGAUUGCUCAUCAAUGGAGAAGCUAAGCUGUAUUUCGGAGUUUUUGCCACGUUACCUUUGCAGUGCCUAUGAGAAAAGAGCACUCGUGGCUACAGAGACAGAGAGCCACCUUGGGCAUAAUCAUUUUCCAGCUGUAACCAUCUCAAAGUUGGAUUUCAAUUCUCAUCUAACUGUUUAGGUGCUUUAUAUCACAAAUGUAGAGAGAGGGGCAUCCGCAGAGGUAAAUCAACCAACCCUAGAGUGGAGGGAAUGAUGGACACUAGCAAUAACUCUCCUGGGUAGCAGCUUGCAUUUUAUUUAUUUAUUUAUUGCAUUUUAUUUAUUGGCUUUUAUUUAUUUUUUUUAUUUUUUUUUUCGAUUUUAGAGUAGAUGGCUUGGCCUAUAAACUUAGUCAAGAGAAAUCUCAUUCACGCAGGCAAUUUAAGGAAAAAAUAAUAAAACGUCAUAAAAGAAGAGCCUAACUCCCACUGAAAUUAAAUAACAACUUCAAAAAGUGGCUGUCAGCGACCUAAGGUCACGCAGUGAGUUUGCAGCUGGGAACCACGGGUUCCUCAGAGCUGGUGUACAAAGAAGCAGGCCUGGACCUGACUUCUGCAUCUCCCACACAGUGGAUGUCAGUUGAUAAAUCUGUGCCAAAUUUAAUUGUUGAAAAUAUCACCUCAACCUGACCACUGUGUAACCCAAUCAAUCUGCUGAGCCUUCACAUUUUUUACCCACAAAACAUCUUUGCUUUGGUAAUUAUCAAUCACCCUUAUGCAGAAAGGUUCCUCCAUUUUUUUAAACUGCUCAAUCCUUUGAGAGAGAGAUGAAUUUUAAUGAUUUAGAUUAUUAACCUAAAGGUUGAUCCAGACUGGGAGGAACAGAAUAAUUUGUUUAAUCAUUAUUAUUAUUUAUAAUUAUUUAACGUAGGGGAGAAAAAUAUCACCUUAAAUGUCAUCAUGAUGCUUUUUAAUUGCCUCAGAUGAAAUUCAGAAUAAUCAUUGCUCUGUAAAUGUAUCCAGAUCUAAUUUUAAAUACCCUAAGAUGCUGGAUAUUUAUCUGAAAAACGCAAAGAACAUAUAUUCAUUACUGUAUAGGCAGUUACAAAGACGGAAAAAAUUGAUCAACCGUGUAUUGAAAAUGAAUUAUUUUCCCAAUUCACAACUGGGCUGUAAUUUGACUUGAGGCAGAAAAACAAGCUGAGCCAGGUAUUUUUUCUUAUUCCUUCAUUCCAGGAGUUUAGUAUGUGUCCUCUACCAAAAGGUAUGUUUUAUGGAUGCUUAAGAACAUAACUUUGUGUGACCGUAAUUUGUAAUAUAUGUGUUGUAGAGAAGUGUAGUUAAUGGUCACGAGGAGGGAUGCCCAGCAUAUGCGGAAUUUCAGUAGACGAGGAAUAUUGGUACACACGCCCAUAUGGGGAGUAUGAGUACACAGGAAAUACAGGAGACUUGACAGUUCCAAAGGGAUUUUUUGUUUGGAACCUGAGGGAGAUGUGCACGCAUGCAAAGUGGUUCUUGAGAUGGAGGACAUCUCUGUGUAGGGCCAGCGUCUCAAGGGAAUAAAAAGCAUAAAAAUGGGAUAUGGGAAAGGCAGGAUGGGAUUCCCUGGGGAGGUUCCACACCCGUGCUUGUAUGCACACACCACAAUUUAGUGAUGAUGCACCCAGUGUGAUUUACUAUCAAAUUCAAGCGAAAUGGAACCCAUUUUUAUUUCCACAUGGGAAAGACACUCU